GUCCACGCCCUAAACGAUGCACACUAGUUGUUGUGAGGCUCGACCUUGCAGUAAUGCAGUUAACACAUUAAGUGUGCCGCCUGGGGAGUACGGUCGCAAGAUUAAAACUCAAAGGAAUAGACGGGGACCCGCACAAGCGGUGGAGCAUGUGGUUUAAUUCGACGAUACACGAAGAACCUUACCUGGACUUGACAUAGUAAGAACUUUCUAGAGAUAGAUUGGUGUCUGCUUGCAGAAACUUAUAUACAGGUGCUGCACGGCUGUCGU
This 267-nucleotide ribosomal RNA is filed under the name uncultured bacterium. Its description in RNAcentral is "partial 16S ribosomal RNA". It matches the Rfam family "Bacterial small subunit ribosomal RNA", at positions 793 to 1055 of the family's 1533-position model. The record is from RNAcentral.